Long non-coding RNA from Vespa velutina, 889 nucleotides. RefSeq lists it as uncharacterized. The transcript is spliced from 2 exons. The record is from RefSeq and is a predicted model, not a curated record. Lineage: Eukaryota; Metazoa; Arthropoda; Insecta; Hymenoptera; Vespidae.
AUAUAUAUACACACCCUAUCUAUAUAUGUGUGCGGACGAUGAGAAAGAGAGAGAGAGAGAGAAAAAGAGAGAAAGAGAUGGAUAGAACGAACGACGAGUAUAUAAAUGUGAGAACGUGAGAACGAAAAAUGAAGGCAGGAAGAAGGAUAUCAUGAUUUUUCAUUUGCGAAAUACGGGCUCGUGUUUAUUGCACGUGCUUUUUCAUAUAACACCUGGAUAUUCGGAAAUGGAUAUGUCGAACUUUCGAUAAAUCCAUAACUACGAGAGUCAAAAUGAGAUUGCAUAACUGACCCAUCCGAAAUAUAACGGAUAAGCUAUAAAGGAAAUAAUCGUGCAUAUUGGUUCCUCUAAGUAGGACAUAGCGUAUAUAUAUAUAUAUAUAUAUAUAUAUAUAUAUAUAUAUGUAUGUAUGUAUGUGUGUCAUGCCUAUUAUAUACGUAUAUUGUUUUGUGAGGCGGUACUUCAGAAUUCUUGCAAAGGUGCGCGCGAAGACAAAAGAGCCGAGGAACGUGUAGAUUCGACACGAGUUCGCAGUACCGUUAGCUUGGGAGCACUUGUAGCAUUUUCAGGCAAUUGAGAGCUCUACGCUCCUCUGUGGCUAGACCUUCUUCUUUAUUAUUAUGGUAGACACAGACCGCCCGGCAGCAUCAACUUAGAAACGAUCAACAUGAACGAUAUAAUUGAAGAAAUAAUGCAAAUAUUUUUUCUUGAGUUUUAUUCGUUCAAAUUCGUUUAAUAUAGAUAGACAUGCGACGAUAUAUAUGGUAUGGGUAUAUGAAUAAUAAAGAUCUAUCAAUCAUUGUCCUGUCGUUGAAAAUUGAUAAUUUAGAUUGAUUUUGUUAAAUUAUUUGAAAAUAAAGAUAAAUAAGUUGGAAUUACAAAGCAUCAA